RNAcentral lists this ribosomal RNA (553 nucleotides) under Escherichia coli. Its description in RNAcentral is "bacterial SSU rRNA". It matches the Rfam family "Bacterial small subunit ribosomal RNA", at positions 1 to 543 of the family's 1533-position model. The record is from RNAcentral. Lineage: Bacteria; Pseudomonadati; Pseudomonadota; Gammaproteobacteria; Enterobacterales; Enterobacteriaceae.
AAAUUGAAGAGUUUGAUCAUGGCUCAGAUUGAACGCUGGCGGCAGGCCUAACACAUGCAAGUCGAACGGUAACAGGAAACAGCUUGCUGUUUCGCUGACGAGUGGCGGACGGGUGAGUAAUGUCUGGGAAACUGCCUGAUGGAGGGGGAUAACUACUGGAAACGGUAGCUAAUACCGCAUAACGUCGCAAGACCAAAGAGGGGGACCCUCGGGCCUCUUGCCAUCGGAUGUGCCCAGAUGGGAUUAGCUUGUUGGUGGGGUAACGGCUCACCAAGGCGACGAUCCCUAGCUGGUCUGAGAGGAUGACCAGCCACACUGGAACUGAGACACGGUCCAGACUCCUACGGGAGGCAGCAGUGGGGAAUAUUGCACAAUGGGCGCAAGCCUGAUGCAGCCAUGCCGCGUGUAUGAAGAAGGCCUUCGGGUUGUAAAGUACUUUCAGCGGGGAGGAAGGGAGUAAAGUUAAUACCUUUGCUCAUUGACGUUACCCGCAGAAGAAGCACCGGCUAACUCCGUGCCAGCAGCCGCGGUAAUACGGAGGGUGCAAGCGUUA